AUCAACGCUGGCGGCGUGCCUAACACAUGCAAGUCGCACGAGAAAGGGACUUCGGUCCUGAGUACAGUGGCGCACGGGUGAGUAACACGUGAAUCAUCUACCUUCUAGUGGGGAAUAACUGGGAGAAAUCUCAGCUAAUACCGCAUAAUACCUACGGGUCAAAGCAGCAAUGUGCUUGAAGAGGAGUUCGCGGCAGAUUAGUUAGUUGGCGGGGUAAUGGCCCACCAAGACGAUGAUCUGUAUCCGGCCUGAGAGGGCGCACGGACACACUGGAACUGAAACACGGUCCAGACUCCUACGGGAGGCAGCAGUGGGGAAUUUUGCGCAAUGGGGGAAACCCUGACGCAGCAACGCCGCGUGGAGGAUGAAAUCCCUUGGGAUGUAAACUCCUUUCGAUUGGGAAGACUAUGACGGUACCAAUAGAAGAAGCCCCGGCUAACUUCGU
RNAcentral lists this ribosomal RNA (445 nucleotides) under uncultured bacterium. RNAcentral describes it as "bacterial SSU rRNA". It matches the Rfam family "Bacterial small subunit ribosomal RNA", at positions 32 to 506 of the family's 1533-position model. The record is from RNAcentral.